AUUAUUCGCCAAGGGAGGCAACUAUGCACCAGCGACGUCGCGUGAGGGAUGACGGCCCUACGGGUUGUAAACUUCUUUUAUACAGCAAUAAAGUGAGUCACGUGAGACUCUUUGCACGUACAGCAUGAAUAAGGAACGGCCAGCUCCGUGUCAGCAGCCGCGGUAAUACGGAGGAGCCAAGCGUUAUCCGGAUUUAUUGGGUUUAAAGGGUGCGCAGGCGGAAGAUUAAGUCGGCGGUGAAAUUUUGCCGCUCAACUGUAAAAGUGCCAUCGAUACUGGUUUUCUUGAGUGUGGAUGAAGUAGGCGGAAUUUGUGGUGUAGCGGUGAAAUGCAUAGAUAUCACGAGGAACUCCGAUUGCGCAGGCAGCUUACUAGGCCAUAACUGACGCUCAGGCACGAAGGCGUGGGGAUCAAACA
RNAcentral lists this ribosomal RNA (417 nucleotides) under uncultured bacterium. Its description in RNAcentral is "partial 16S ribosomal RNA". It matches the Rfam family "Bacterial small subunit ribosomal RNA", at positions 360 to 774 of the family's 1533-position model. The record is from RNAcentral.